UUCUCUACAUCAUGAAUGUCGAAAUGGCAAAUAAGAAGGCCUACUAGGCCUUCAAAAUCAGAUGUUUUGUUUCCAUCUAACUGUCCCUUUCGUUCAUUGUUAUGGAAUUUUAGCAGGAAACUGCACUCCUAACAUCAUUCUAUGUUUAAUUAACCAAAGUGAAAUCACCUUUCAUUAAAUAUCAUCACUCCGAGACUAAUCAGAGAGAUCCCACAACAUAGCCCCACAACCAUUUAGAAAACAUGGAUGAACAAUGUUUCUACUUGUAUCCAUACACUGUAAGAAGACUUUUGGUGCAAAGGCAAGUGUCCUUUUUCUUUUAGGGCAAACAAUGUCACUUGCCUUUAGAUCAAAAAGUCCAGUAGCACAGUGUAGUGAUAUGUUGUGGGCACCCCCUCUUGCUAAUGCGUUACUCGUUGUGGAUCCCGUUACUUCCCCUAGUUGAAAAUCUAGGUCACAUAAUAUUGUUGAUUCGGGUGCUGCACUGCUGACUAGUGACC
Molecule: long non-coding RNA, 500 nt
Organism: Rhododendron vialii
Lineage: Eukaryota; Viridiplantae; Streptophyta; Magnoliopsida; Ericales; Ericaceae
Exons: 2
Source: RefSeq, a predicted model, not a curated record